UACGUAGGGUGCAAGCGUUAAUCGGAAUUACUGGGCGUAAAGCGUGCGCAGGCGGUUGUGCAAGACAGGUGUGAAAUCCCCGGGCUUAACCUGGGAACUGCAUUUGUGACUGCACGGCUAGAGUGUGUCAGAGGGGGGUAGAAUUCCACGUGUAGCAGUGAAAUGCGUAGAGAUGUGGAGGAACACCGAUGGCGAAGGCAGCCCCCCUGGGAUAACACUGACGCUCAUGCACGAAAGCGUGGGGAGCAAACAGG
Molecule: ribosomal RNA, 254 nt
Filed under: uncultured bacterium
Lineage: Bacteria
Description: partial 16S ribosomal RNA
Rfam family: Bacterial small subunit ribosomal RNA
Source: RNAcentral